CCUACGGGUGGCAGCAGUGGGGAAUAUUGGACAAUGGGCGAAAGCCUGAUCCAGCCAUGCCGCGUGUGUGAAGAAGGCCUUCGGGUUGUAAAGCACUUUCAGUGGGGAAGAAAGCCUUGGGGCUAAUACCCUCGAGGAAGGACAUCACCCACAGAAGAAGCACCGGCUAACUCCGUGCCAGCAGCCGCGGUAAUACGGAGGGUGCGAGCGUUAAUCGGAAUUACUGGGCGUAAAGCGCGCGUAGGCGGUCUGAUAAGCCGGUUGUGAAAGCCCCGGGCUCAACCUGGGAACGGCAUCCGGAACUGUCAGGCUAGAGGGCAGGAGAGGAAGGUAGAAUUCCCGGUGUAGCGGUGAAAUGCGUAGAGAUCGGGAGGAAUACCAGUGGCGAAGGCGGCCUUCUGGACUGACACUGACGCUGAGGUGCGAAAGCGUGGGUAGCAAACAGGAUUAGAUACCCGUGUAGUC
RNAcentral lists this ribosomal RNA (465 nucleotides) under Vreelandella stevensii. Its description in RNAcentral is "partial 16S ribosomal RNA". It matches the Rfam family "Bacterial small subunit ribosomal RNA", at positions 338 to 795 of the family's 1533-position model. The record is from RNAcentral. Lineage: Bacteria; Pseudomonadati; Pseudomonadota; Gammaproteobacteria; Oceanospirillales; Halomonadaceae.